RNAcentral lists this ribosomal RNA (532 nucleotides) under Xenurolebias izecksohni. RNAcentral describes it as "partial 16S ribosomal RNA". It matches the Rfam family "Bacterial large subunit ribosomal RNA", at positions 1835 to 2599 of the family's 2925-position model. The record is from RNAcentral. Lineage: Eukaryota; Metazoa; Chordata; Actinopteri; Cyprinodontiformes; Rivulidae.
UUGAUAAAACAUAAGAGGUCCUACCUGCCCAGUGAUAUGUAUAUGUUCAACGGCCGCGGUAUCUUAACCGUGCAAAGGUAGCGUAAUCAAUUGCCUUUUAAAUGAAAGCUUGUAUGAAUGGUGUGACGAAAACUCAACUGUCUCAUUCUUUUAACCAAUGAAAUUGAUCUCCCCGUGCAGAAGCGGGGAUAAACCCAUAAGACGAAAAGACCCUGUGGAGCUUUAGAUAACGCGACCUAGCAAACUUGCUACAACCUCGCCUACAUCUUAGGUUGGGGCGACCACGGAGAAAAAAAAACCCUCCAUGAAAAAACUUAUGUUUUUACUACCAAGAGCAACCCCUCUAAGCAUUAGAACAUCUAAUUUAUGAACCGGAUACCGAUUAACGAACCAAGUUACCCCAGGGAUAACAGCGCAAUCCCCUUACAGAGCCCGUAUCCACAAGGGGGUUUACGACCUCGAUGUUGGACCAGGACAUCCUAAUGGCGCAACUGCCAUUAAUGGUUCGUUUGUUCAACGAUUAAAGUCCUAC